Molecule: long non-coding RNA, 283 nt
Filed under: Carica papaya (papaya)
Lineage: Eukaryota; Viridiplantae; Streptophyta; Magnoliopsida; Brassicales; Caricaceae
Description: long non-coding RNA (CPAP_LNC008248)
Source: RNAcentral
AUUUCCAGUAGGGAUUUGGAUGCUUGAUGCAUGUCAAACCUUCUCUUUUCAUGAGUUGAGUGCUUUCCACAUUAGCACAGUUACCACCAUCAAUGAUCAUUCCAUAUAUCUUACCAUUGAUAAAGCAUCGCGUGUGGAAGAUGUUAUCUCUCUACUUGUUAUUUUCAUUCAUAACUUGCACGUUGAGAGCUCUUCGGAUAAUAAGGACAUUACUCCUAAAUGGAGCAUUUUCAAUGGAUUGAGACAGAGUGUAGUACCAGCAAUAAAGGUUAGUGAAAAUAAU